GUAGGUGGCAAGCGUUGUCCGGAAUUAUUGGGCGUAAAGCGCGCGCAGGCGGUUCGUUUAAGUCUGAUGUGAAAGCCCACGGGCUCAACCGUGGAGGGUCAUUGGAAACUGGAGAACUUGAGUACAGAAGAGGAAAGCGGAAUUCCACGUGUAGCGGUGAAAUGCGUAGAGAUGUGGAGGAACACCAGUGGCGAAGGCGGCUUUCUGGUCUGUAACUGACGCUGAGGCGCGAAAGCGUGGGGAGCAAACAGGAUUAGAUACCCUGGUAGUCCACGCCGUAAACGAUGAGUGCUAAGUGUUAGGGGGGUUUCCGCCCCCUUAGUGCUGCAGCUAACGCAUUAAGCACUCCGCCUGGGGAGUACGGCCGCAAGGCUG
This 375-nucleotide ribosomal RNA is filed under the name uncultured organism. RNAcentral's name for it is "partial 16S ribosomal RNA". It matches the Rfam family "Bacterial small subunit ribosomal RNA", at positions 527 to 896 of the family's 1533-position model. The record is from RNAcentral.